Non-coding RNA from Peromyscus maniculatus bairdii (prairie deer mouse), 949 nucleotides. Lineage: Eukaryota; Metazoa; Chordata; Mammalia; Rodentia; Cricetidae. The record is from RefSeq and is a predicted model, not a curated record.
AAGAAGAGCUGUCUGUGUGUCAGCUGCAUCGAUCUCGGGUGUAGGCAACAUCUCGCUGGACCUGGAAGCCAUCCAUGCAUUAGAGCGGGCAGACCCUGGGCUGAGAGUUGGGUGACUAUGACUUGCUGUGUGACCUAGGGCAGAUGCACCAGUGGAUGAAUGGGGCAGAUGGACCAGUGGAUGCAGAGAUGAUGAAUCUGCAGCAGAAAGGGGAAGUUUUUUGCUGUCAACCCCAAGACAGAACACCACCGCAAUCUCCAUGUACAAGAACAGUUUGAGGACCCUUCUGGGGCACAGCUUGCUGAUGGAACCCAAAAUGCCCAGUUUGGACCAGCCUGCCAGGAGUCCAUGGAGUCAUCUCUCAUUUCAUCCAGCUGGAUUUUGAAGUCUACCCCAGACUCUGGUUGGCUUCACAUGGCUGACCAACCAUUUGAACUUGCCUGUUUGGCUUCUCUCAUUUCUUCUUAUCCCCUCAUGGGCUAAGGAGGAUGUUCUCCACUGUCCAUCAUCAUCAUUGAUGGGGCGGGAUGGCAUAAGUCACCAACCUUCGUCUGAGAACAUUCACACUAACUUUAUGGCCAGCAUACCAAAGCAAGGAUCCACAUGGGAAAGAAUUCAUCUCAUAAAAGUUAUCUUAAUAUUGAAAGUAUUCAGACAAGAGAACUCAGUUUUGACUAAAACAAGACCAACACAAAAAUUCACUUGUGAAUGUUCUUGCAAGGCCAUCGAGGAAUGGAGAAUCACCUCAACCAACAGAAGGAGUAGAGAGACACUGUCCCACCUCACAACUAAGAGCACAAGCUUCCAACCCAGGCCUUUAUCCACAGCCGAUGACCCUCAGAGCCUUCAUGCAUGCUCACAAAUAUUAUAAAUUGAGAAUUAAGGUCUAGAAGUACCACACAGGCUGCUUUCCAUGCUUCAUUCUUAGGAUGCUCAGGUCACAGCAUCC